UUAUAUUCAUUACAUGUAUUAUCUGUGUGAGCCCACAAUAUUUCAGAUCCAGUGUCUUUUUAAUAAUGAGUGUCUUUUCCAUAAUCGAUUUUACAAAUAAGCAGUAAGUAAAAAUGUAUUAUCUGUAUGAGCCCAUGAUACUUCAGAUACAAUGUCUUUUUUAUUGAUGUCUUUUUUGUAUAUAAUGAGUGUCUUUCUAAUCAUUGAUUUUCACAAUUAAGCAUUUAAAGUAAAAAUAUUAAAAUAUAAAUAUGUACUGCUCUAUAUUAUCUCUAUAAAUCAGUUUCUGACUUAUUUUGCUAGGAAGAAACCAUCCCUUUUUGCACUUAGUGGGUAUGUAGUCUGCAAUAUUGAAUGAAAGCACCAAUUUGCACUAUUUUAUGCUGGAAGCUAUCAAUAAUAUGUACCUAAUAUAUUGUAUUGAAUAAAAGACUACAUAAAUCAGUUAUACAAAGGAUCAUAUUAUGCUUUUAGUGAAUUUCCAGAGAGUCAUAAAACCUAUAAAUCAAUGUAUUUUUUAUAAAUUCAGUGUCAGUGGGUUUAAUUAAUUCUAUUUGCCUGAAUAAAAUUAAUGAUGUGUUUUAAAUAUUUGAAUUUAAAACAAAUAUUCAGAAUGACGUCUUUUAUGUUUAUGGUGUUAAAAAAUAGCUGUUAGUUAGUUAGUGGAUACUGUGCAUAUGCCAAGCUAGUUUGAUUCAAAGCUGAAGUCUCUGGAAUUGAAUUGUGAGAGUAAGAGAAGAUUAAAGCACCAGAGUGCACUGGACUAUUUCAAGUGAAAGGAUCCAGUAGCUUUGUACAAACUUCCAGUUGGGUACAGCUGUCAGUAAUUAUUAAUCUCAUUUCAGAUAUGAAACACCACGGAAUCAGUAUUGCUGUGGCCUUAUCUUUUCCUGUACUGAUUUUUUUCCUGCUCUCCUUGAUAAAAUACAACAUACAGUGCAAGAGGGCAGAACAUUUCUGUGUGGAAUAGUACUUUCAAAUCCCAUAGAAUCUGGAGAGAAGCCAGUUCGAGAGAAAAAUAAGAAUUUUUACAUCAUUUACCAACAUAUUUAUAUUAGGCACAGCGUAAACAUAUCAACUGAAAGUAUUCAGUUGAUAUGUUUAUAAGUAUUCAGUGGGACACUUUGGAGAUAUCACAAAAACUGAAGACCUUAGAGAUUUGAGGUACUUCCACUUGAAAUUCUAUCCAGCUAAUGACUGAUUACUGGUUAUUUGAAUAGUGAGAACAACAUACCUAUGACUAAUAAAUGUUUAUGAAUAAAGACA
This is a long non-coding RNA of Lonchura striata (white-rumped munia), 1266 nucleotides long. The record is from Ensembl. Lineage: Eukaryota; Metazoa; Chordata; Aves; Passeriformes; Estrildidae.